Pteropus alecto (black flying fox) is the source of this 4559-nucleotide RNA transcript. It is a transcript of the gene named spermatogenesis associated 6 like, with no coding region annotated. The transcript is spliced from 16 exons. NCBI's taxonomy places the organism in Eukaryota, Metazoa, Chordata, Mammalia, Chiroptera, Pteropodidae. The record is from RefSeq and is a predicted model, not a curated record.
UACACAGUGGCCGAGCUCGCUUGCGCCUGCGCUGUGGACCUUGCUCGCGUUCUAGGGUGGAAGGUUGCGCGUUUGAGUGUCCAUGGCAACGCGACGCUACAGCCUUCUGGAAGGCUUAGCUCCAGCUCCUGUAGUGGAACGAUGCCUUUGGAGGUAGUGGUGGAGCUGCAGAUCCGCGCGAUUUCUUGCCCAGGAGUGUUCCUUCCUGACAAGCAAGAUGUGUACCUUGGGGUUUACCUCUUGAAUCAGUACCUGGAAACAGCCUGCUUUCCCUCUGUGUUCCCUAUUAUGAUUCAGCAGAGAAUGACAUUUGAAAAGUUAUUUGAAAAUGCAGUAGAUCCUGGAGCUGUAGCAGAUAUUUUAGAAAGCUUCUUAACCAGGUUUGAAUUAAUACAGCUAGUGUCUCCAGUUUGGGAAGAGUUGGCCUACUAUGAAGAAAACACACGGGACUUUCUUUUCCCUGAGCCCAAGCUGACACCUUCACACCCUGGGAUGUGUAGGGAGGUGCUCAUGAAAACAGCUGCAAGUUUUCCGGGCAUUGCUCCCAAAAUUGAGUUUUCUACGAGGACAGCUAUCAGAGAAUGUGUGUUUCUGCAUAGAAACAGAUUUCUUGAAGAAAGAUAUAAGUCACGAAGGCCUUUAUCUACAUCAUAUGGACCCAAAUUCCCCUUAAAUAAUAUGCAGAUGAAGCCAAAGGAGAGUAAUCUUAACAGACUGCCCCAAAGCAUGCAAUCCCGGGCGCCUUCUCCAUAUUCUGCCAGGCGUUCUUCCCAGGACCAGCCAGCUCAAGUGAACCCUGGAAAUAAUUUCAGAAUCUCCAGAGAAAGCAAACCUCCAUUUGUAGUUAGACAUGUGGACAGUACAAAGCCCUUUGGUGAGAAUAUUUCAGGACAUCAUUCCCUGAAGUCUAGAAGAAAAUCUAAGUUUUCAAACUUUCCCUUUCCAAUGAGAAGAGCUUCCUCUCUUGACAGCCUUGCAGCUAACAUAAAGGUUAUUAAAGCACCAGAUGAACGGAUUGUUUUAAGGAAUGAAUCACCAUCACCUCUAGAUUCAAGUAAGUUUGGGAAGCCCUCGCCCAGUUACAGUAACCAAGGGGAUGCCGACCUCCACCAGGAAACUUCAUUUGUCAGCUCCCAGCACUCCAGAUCUCCCAGCCCUCUUCUGCAUCAGCCCCUUCUCCAAGAAAGGUUCUACCCUGAUUCUCAGUCCACAUGGAAGAAGAUCCAUGAAAGGGUAUGCGGUCUUCUGACAUCCCAUGCUGCUUGGCAACACCUAAACAAGGAGGAUUCUAUCUCUGAAGUAAAUUAUACCCUUGAAAGACCAAGCUACCCUAUGAAGAAAUACCCAGUGCAUGCACAGAGAUAUUUUUAAGCUGCUAUCUUAUUCCCACAUGUAGUAUGGGAAGUUUCAGAUUUCGGAGGGGAAACUGGAUGAAAGUUGGAGGAGCAUCAUAAAGAACUCCCUCAUGGAGUCAGCUGACACAUCCUUAGAGAAAUGAACAACAAUUUUUGUUAUAUAUAUCAAGUUGCUGGUGUCUCAUCCCCUUUAAAUCAAACCCUGUACUCAGUCUUUUGUACCCAGGAGCUCUGAGAUGGCAGCACUGAGUGACUCAGCAUUUCAUGGCCUGCCCCCAAAAUGAAGGGGGUUUGAGGCUGCUGGGCUGCUGAGUCACCAGAAUUAGGAUUUUCAAAUGAAGAAAGAGAAGGAAGACCUCUGGCCAGGCAAAGAGUUGGCUCUAAGGAACUGACACCUAGAUUGGUAUCUUAAACUGAGAGAAAUAUCACACCUAUUUUAGUGGGAUGACUUCCAGGAAUAGACUGAAUAUAAUAGGUGUCAUUGUUGGAAGUGCUGGAUUCCUGGUGAGAGCUCAUCCUCAUGAAAGUUCAUUUGUCAUUGCAUAAGGGAAGUUCAACACAGGUGAAUGGUGACAUCUUUUGUUCACUGAGACAUGCAGUCUCCCAGUCCUAACAAAUAAUUAAAUUGAUUCCAUAGCCUUGCAUGGGAUCACUCAACUUGUAUUUAUUAAGCUCCUACUAUGUGCUCAGUAUUGCACUGGGCCCUGUGAAAUAAGAGACAAGUUAUGCUAAGGAGUAUAACAUACAACCUGUGCCUUCCUGGAGUCUUCAGACUUCUUAGGGCAAUGAGAUGUUUCAAAGGUGUUGCAAACUCAAAUGCCUUCAGGACCAGGCAGGAUUUGUGACUGUUGGAAGCAGUGGGGUUUGAAAUAAUGGUGAGUAAUGGGGGCUGGGGUGAAAUGGAGAGUGUAACUUCACCCCUUCCACUUCCUGCAAGGUGUUUAAAUUCUUCAAAUUCAAAUCUAAGACGACAAAAGGCUCUAUGGCCACAUAAAGCUGAUCUGAAGCUGAUCUUGCCCACAGCCACCAGUUUUGACUCUUAUUUAACAAUAUGAUGUAAUAUUAACUCAAGUUUGUGGAACUCAAUUUCAUUAUGUUGUAAUCAAGUCUCAUAUUGAUUAAUUUAAGGAAUCAUCUGAUUAUACACCAAAAUACUGUUAUUUCUCUAGGUUCCAUGAGGUAAGAAAUAAUGUAGUUCUGGGGCCAAGGGCCAAGAAUUUAUUUCUGACAUUAAGUAAUAGGAAGUCUACGUGGAGAAGAGGUUUGGGAGAAGUGAGGAAAUUGGAGUCUAAUGAAGGAUAUGUGAAUGGAGAAGAAGAAAAUAGCCGUUAGGGAUAUCUUAUGAAGUAUCUUAAAUUCUGGGCCUGGUAUUUUAGACUUAGCGCUGUAGACAAUAAGAAACCAUUAGAGUUUUGGUAUGAGAAAGCCGACUGUUAAUCUGAUGAUCUUGUUCAGGGUGGUUUGGGAGUGGGUAGAGGGUGGCAGCAGGGAGACUAUUGAAGAAGUCUGGAAAUUAGGGUAAUAGAGCCUAGACGGUGUGGGAGGGUCAUAGAGGAAAAAGGGACUCAUUAAACCUCACUAGGCAACUUUUUUUAAUGGUGCUUAUUUUAAUGGUGUGUGUGUGGCAGGGGAUGGGGAGUCUGGCUCCUUUAAAGAAGACACUGUUCAGUCAGAAGGCCUGGGCUGAGUUGCAAAAUGAAGGAGAACUAUUUAAUCAUCAGGAAUGAAGUAUUGAUUGAGACAAUAAUUACCCUGCAGAUAAAAGGACACAGUGUUCUUCAUUUCAUAGACUCACAUUCAUAUCUACAUUCUUUAAGACAUGAGGUGAAAUGAGCUCAGGAACAAAAGAACAAAAUAGGAGGCCGGGUAAAACAUUAUGAAGAGAGAUUUUUUUUUUCAUGGUGUCUUUUUUGUCAGUAGGGCCAGAUAGGGAACAGAAUUACUGGGAAUUGGGGUACUGUGAGGCAGGGUAGGUGCUCAGAAGCAAUGGGAGCCAUCUCUUGGAUUUAGUUUUUUGUUGUUGUUGUUUGUACCUCUGAAUCUUGUUACUAUUUUGAAGAUCUCAUUGUUGUAAAUAGAAUUGAGGAUUAUCAAAGUACACAUUAUUUAUUUAAGAAUUACAUGGGAAGAGAAGUGCAGGAAUGUACCAUGUCCAGUUAUAUAGGUCUGAACUGAACGAGCCACUUCACAAGGAUGCAGCAUUGUCCCUAAGAGGCUCCCACCCAAGUGGAGAGUGGGAUUCAGAUAAAUGAAAGAACCUCUGUAGACCUGCCUUGUCCCCACCAACCGCUUGGGGUCAAAGAGGGUCAAAGAAAUUGUUAUGAUCAGAGGUCGCAGUGGAGAUAAUGGUGAUUUUGAAAACACAACACCUGAUUUAGGAAAGAGAGAAUACAGAAGAAAUUUACAAGUUUGACUAUGGAUAAGUUCAGUUUUAAAAAGAUGGUGCUAAGGUCAAAGGGAAAUGUCCAAGAGAAGUUAGGAAUGUAGAUCUGAAGUUUGGCUGGGAGGUCAGGGCAGGAGAAACCAAAGGCAGCUAUAGAUUUUGCAGAUAUAUAUUUUUGUUAAUCAUCUGAAUAGAAGUGGCAUUUGAAGCCAUAAUAAUCGAUGAAUUUCUGGUGGAGAGAGUGUAGAGAGAGAGACCGAAAGAAAUUGGAGCUUGUUGAUUCAUUCCAUAUUUGAGAGUCCCCUGUGUGUUCGCCACAGGCCAACCAUUGGGCAGAGAUGAGGCCCACAGGAAGGGAGCAGCAGGAAAAGGAGGUUACAAAGCUUGUUGAAGAAUGGGGUAAGAGGAUCGGGAUAGAACCCAAUAAUGUCUUAGAAAUCAAAGGAAGAGAACUGAGUGGAAAAUGAGCUAAUUAACAGUGACAAAUACUGCAAAAGAGUAAAAAUUAAGGACUGAGAAAAUGCCUGUUGGAUUUUACAAGGAAGACAUUGAUUUACCUUGGAGCUUAUAUUGUUCCUGAUCUUAGAGGAAAAGUUUUUAUCUUUUCACUAUUGAAUAUAUUAGAUGUGGGUUUAUCAUAUAUGGCCUUCAUUAUGUUGAGGGACGUUCCUUCCGUACCCUAUUCAUUAAGAGUUUUUAUCAUGAAAGGAUGUUGAAUUUUGUCAGAUGCUUUUUCUGCAUUUAUAGAGAUGAUCAUAAUGAUUUUUAUACCUAAUUUUGUUAAUGUGGUGUAUCACGUUUAUUGAUUUGCUUAUGUUGAA